GACGAACGCUGGCGGCGUGCUUAACACAUGCAAGUCGAACGGAAAGGCCCUGCUUUUGUGGGGUGCUCGAUUGGCGAACGGGUGAGUAACACGCGAGUAACCUGCCCUUGACUUUGGGAUAAAUUCAGGAAACUGGGGCUAAUACCGGAUAGGAGCUCCUGCUGCAUGGUGGGGGUUGGAAAGUUUCGGCGGUUGGGGAUGGACUCGCGGCUUAUCAGCUUGUUGGUGGGGUAGUGGCUUACCAAGGCUUUGACGGGUAGCCGGCCUGAGAGGGUGGCCGGCCACAUUGGGACUGAGAUACGGCGCAGAAUCCUACGGGAGGCAGUAGUGGGGAAUAUUGCACAAUGGGCGGAAGCCUGAUGCAGCAACGCCGCGUGCGGGAUGACGGCCUUCUGGUGGUAAACCGCUUUCGCCUGUGACGAGGCGUGAGUGACGGUAACGGAUAAAAAAGCACCGGCUAACUACGUG
Molecule: ribosomal RNA, 468 nt
Filed under: uncultured bacterium
Lineage: Bacteria
Description: partial 16S ribosomal RNA
Rfam family: Bacterial small subunit ribosomal RNA
Source: RNAcentral